AUGAACGCUGGCGGCGUGCCUAAUACAUGCAAGUCGAGCGAACGGACGAGAAGCUUGCUUCUCUGAUGUUAGCGGCGGACGGGUGAGUAACACGUGGAUAACCUACCUAUAAGACUGGGAUAACUUCGGGAAACCGGAGCUAAUACCGGAUAAUAUUUUGAACCGCAUGGUUCAAAAGUGAAAGACGGUCUUGCUGUCACUUAUAGAUGGGUCCGCGCUGCAUUAGCUAGUUGGUAAGGUAACGGCUUACCAAGGCAACGAUGCAUAGCCGACCUGAGAGGGUGAUCGGCCACACUGGAACUGAAACACGGUCCAGACUCCUACGGGAGGCAGCAGUAGGGAAUCUUCCGCAAUGGGCGAAAGCCUGACGGAGCAACGCCGCGUGAGUGAUGAAGGUCUUCGGAUCGUAAAACUCUGUUAUUAGGGAAGAACAUAUGUGUAAGUAACUGUGCACAUCUUGACGGUACCUAAUCAGAAAGCCACGGCUAACUACGUG
RNAcentral lists this ribosomal RNA (496 nucleotides) under uncultured bacterium. RNAcentral describes it as "partial 16S ribosomal RNA". It matches the Rfam family "Bacterial small subunit ribosomal RNA", at positions 29 to 507 of the family's 1533-position model. The record is from RNAcentral.